This 250-nucleotide signal recognition particle RNA is filed under the name Condylostoma magnum. Its description in RNAcentral is "partial Plant signal recognition particle RNA". It matches the Rfam family "Protozoan signal recognition particle RNA". Lineage: Eukaryota; Ciliophora; Heterotrichea; Heterotrichida; Condylostomatidae. The record is from RNAcentral.
GAGUUGCGUCCCUCUGUAACACUAGUGUGAGACAAUGCCGAUUGGGCGGCGUGUAAGUGUCUCGUGGGCUUGGCCAUUAUGGGUCGCGUAGAAAGUCUGUCCUAUCCAGAUCAGGGAUCCGUUCAGGGGACUAGGGGAACUUAGUCAACGGAUCGGUUAGAGUGAGAGGGAACGCCUGAGGCUGGAAACAGAGCAGGGAAAACUCUCCGUCCUUGAUGGUGGAAGGACCGCAGACUUGAGCGGUUCGGAC